GAUGAACGCUGGCGGCGUGCUUAACACAUGCAAGUCGAACGAAGCACUUUAACCUGAUUCUUCGGAUGAAGGUUUUUGUGACUGAGUGGCGGACGGGUGAGUAACGCGUGGGUAACCUGCCUCAUACAGGGGGAUAACAGUUAGAAAUGACUGCUAAUACCGCAUAAGACCACAGAGCCGCAUGGCUCGGUGGGAAAAACUCCGGUGGUAUGAGAUGGACCCGCGUCUGAUUAGGUAGUUGGUGGGGUAACGGCCUACCAAGCCAACGAUCAGUAGCCGACCGGGGGGGGGGGCCGGCCCAAUUGGGAAGGGGGCACGGCCCAAACCCCUCGGGAGGGACGGAGGGGGGAUAUUAGACCAAGGGGGGAAACCCUGAAGCCGCGGCGCCGGGGGAGGGAAGAAGUAUUUGGGUAGGUAAAGCCCUAUCAGCAGGGAAGAAAAGGCGGGAACCAGAAAAAGAAGCACCGCCUAAAAACGU
Molecule: ribosomal RNA, 478 nt
Filed under: uncultured bacterium
Lineage: Bacteria
Description: partial 16S ribosomal RNA
Rfam family: Bacterial small subunit ribosomal RNA
Source: RNAcentral